GCUCCAAUGGCCUUGUGGUUAGAGCAUCCACCUCAGAUGCGGGAGGUUGUGGGUUCAAUCCCCAGUUGAGUCA
Non-coding RNA from Potamilus streckersoni, 73 nucleotides. The record is from the annotation of a GenBank genome assembly. NCBI's taxonomy places the organism in Eukaryota, Metazoa, Mollusca, Bivalvia, Unionida, Unionidae.